GAUGAACGCUGGCGGCGUGCCUAAUACAUGCAAGUCGAGCGAACGGACCAGAAGCUUUCUCUUCUGAUGUUAGCGGCGGACGGGCGAGUAACACGUGGAUAACCUACCUAUAAGACUGGGAUAACUUCGGGAAACCGGAGCUAAUACCGGAUAAUAUUUUGAACCGCAUGGUUCAAAAGUGAAAGACGGUCUUUCUGUCACUUAUAGAUGGAUCCGCGCUGCAUUAGCUAGUUGGUAAGGUAACGGCUUACCAAGGCAACGAUGCGUAGCCGACCUGAGAGGGUGAUCGGCCACACUGGAACUGAGACACGGUCCAGACUCCUACGGGAGGCAGCAGUAGGGAAUCUUCCGCAAUGGGCGAAAGCCUGACGGAGCAACGCCGCGUGAGUGAUGAAGGUCUUCGGAUCGUAAAACUCUGUUAUUAGGGAAGAACAAAUGUGUAAGUAACUGUGCACAUCUUGACGGUACCUAAUCAGAAAGCCACGGCUAACUACGUG
Molecule: ribosomal RNA, 497 nt
Filed under: uncultured bacterium
Lineage: Bacteria
Description: partial 16S ribosomal RNA
Rfam family: Bacterial small subunit ribosomal RNA
Source: RNAcentral